GGCAAAAGAGAGCUUGAUUGCAAGACAUACAGGUCGAGCAAGGAUGAAAAUCGGACUUAGUGAGCCGGUGGUUCUGCGUGGAAGGGCCAUCGCGCAACGGAUAAAAGCUACCCUGGGGAUAACAGGCUUAUCUCCCCCAAGAGUCCACAUCGACGGGGAGGUUUGGCACCUCGAUGUCGGCUCAUCACAUCCUGGGGCUGUAGUAGGUCCCCAGGGUUGGGCUGUUCGCCCAUUAAAGUGGUACGCGAGCUGGGUUCAGAACGUCGU
Molecule: ribosomal RNA, 267 nt
Filed under: Clostridioides difficile
Lineage: Bacteria; Bacillati; Bacillota; Clostridia; Peptostreptococcales; Peptostreptococcaceae
Description: partial 23S ribosomal RNA
Rfam family: Bacterial large subunit ribosomal RNA
Source: RNAcentral